Long non-coding RNA from Maniola jurtina (meadow brown), 70 nucleotides. RefSeq lists it as uncharacterized. The record is from RefSeq and is a predicted model, not a curated record. Lineage: Eukaryota; Metazoa; Arthropoda; Insecta; Lepidoptera; Nymphalidae. The transcript is spliced from 3 exons.
CACUUCAGCACCUAGUUUGAGCUGUGCGUUGAUAGAUCACUCAGUCAGUUUUGCCUUUUAUAUAUUUGGA